This 361-nucleotide long non-coding RNA is filed under the name Linum usitatissimum (flax). RNAcentral's name for it is "long non-coding RNA (LUSI_LNC001278)". The record is from RNAcentral. Lineage: Eukaryota; Viridiplantae; Streptophyta; Magnoliopsida; Malpighiales; Linaceae.
GAUAGCUUCUCCUCUUUAACAACUUUGGAGGUCUUCACUGCUGAUCUCUGCUUUAGAUGGGAUUCAAAGAGGUUCAAUAAAGUGACAAACGCAACAUCCGUUCACAGGGACAUUUCCAUUUGACAAAUCUUAACAAGCUGACAAGAAGCGUGCUAUGCAAAUUACAAAGUGAGCCCAAAUGAAUGCCCUUUUUGCGCGCAACGAGAAAUGGUUAAGGCAAAUAAUAGGAGCCGACCAGGGAGCGAAAUACGAAGAGCAACUGACUGAAAAUAGGGACAGAAAUCUCACAUCUUUCUCUACCAGGUGUUGCUCGAAAGGCGGGUUCCACUUCCCACGAACCCAUUCCCUCUGCAACCUCAAG